AUUGAACGCUGGCGGAAUGCUUUACACAUGCAAGUCGAACGGCAGCACGGACUUCGGUCUGGUGGCGAGUGGCGAACAGGUGAGUAAUGUAUCGGAACGUGCCCAGUCGUGGGGGAUAACGUAGUGAAAAUUACGCUAAUACCGCAUACGAUCUAUGGAUGAAAGCGGGGGAUCGCAAGACCUCGCGCGAUUGGAGCGGCCGAUAUCAGAUUAGGUAGUUGGUGGGGUAAAGGCCCACCAAGCCAACGAUCUGUAGCUGGUCUGAGAGGACGACCAGCCACACUGGAACUGAGACACGGUCCAGACUCCUACGGGAGGCAGCAGUGGGGAAUUUUGGACAAUGGGCGAAAGCCUGAUCCAGCCAUUCCGCGUGCAGGAUGAAGGCCCUCGGGUUGUAAACUGCUUUUGUACAGAACGAAAAGGUUUCUACUAAUACUAGGAGCUCAUGACGGUACUGUAAGAAUAAGCACCGGCUAACUCUGUGCCAGCCGCCGCAGUAA
RNAcentral lists this ribosomal RNA (500 nucleotides) under uncultured bacterium. Its description in RNAcentral is "partial 16S ribosomal RNA". It matches the Rfam family "Bacterial small subunit ribosomal RNA", at positions 30 to 523 of the family's 1533-position model. The record is from RNAcentral.